RNAcentral lists this ribosomal RNA (162 nucleotides) under uncultured bacterium. RNAcentral describes it as "partial 16S rRNA". It matches the Rfam family "Bacterial small subunit ribosomal RNA", at positions 358 to 511 of the family's 1533-position model. The record is from RNAcentral.
GGAAUCUUCGGCAAUGGACGAAAGUCUGACCGAGCAACGCCGCGUGAGUGAAGAAGGUUUUCGGAUCGUAAAACCCUGUUGGUAGAGAAGAACGUUGGUGAGAGUGGAAAGCUCAUCAAGUGACGGUAACUACCCAGAAAGGGACGGCUAACUACGUGCCAG